Long non-coding RNA from Nanorana parkeri, 270 nucleotides. RefSeq lists it as uncharacterized. The record is from RefSeq and is a predicted model, not a curated record. NCBI's taxonomy places the organism in Eukaryota, Metazoa, Chordata, Amphibia, Anura, Dicroglossidae. The transcript is spliced from 3 exons.
AAGAAAGUGAAGUUUUCAUUCGCCAAAAUAGAAAACCUGAGAAACCUAAGAAAAGAUUUAGCAGAAGAGAAGCGCAAGUUGGAACAAAACCAGGAAAUGUUGGAGUCCCUGAACAGUGAAGUUGAAAAGGCCGUGCAGGACUCGUAUGCCAUAGAAGAGUCUACAAAGGCCUUAGAAGAGAAGCUUGAGUACUUGACAGAGCAAGCAGCAAAAGAUGCUCAAACCCCGGACAGUGUCACAAAUUUAGACCCCUUGCAGCUUCCGAAAGCC